This 492-nucleotide ribosomal RNA is filed under the name uncultured bacterium. RNAcentral describes it as "partial 16S ribosomal RNA". It matches the Rfam family "Bacterial small subunit ribosomal RNA", at positions 29 to 507 of the family's 1533-position model. The record is from RNAcentral.
AGUGAACGCUGGCGGUAGGCCUAACACAUGCAAGUCGAACGGCAGCACAGUAAGAGCUUGCUCUUACGGGUGGCGAGUGGCGGACGGGUGAGGAAUACAUCGGAAUCUACUUUUUCGUGGGGGAUAACGUAGGGAAACUUACGCUAAUACCGCAUACGACCUACGGGUGAAAGCAGGGGAUCUUCGGACCUUGCGCGAUUGAAUGAGCCGAUGUCGGAUUAGCUAGUUGGCGGGGUAAAGGCCCACCAAGGCGACGAUCCGUAGCUCGUCUGAGAGGAUGAUCAGCCACACUGGAACUGAGACACGGUCCAGACUCCUACGGGAGGCAGCAGUGGGGAAUAUUGGACAAUGGGCGCAAGCCUGAUCCAGCCAUACCGCGUGGGUGAAGAAGGCCUUCGGGUUGUAAAGCCCUUUUGUUGGGAAAGAAAAGCAGCAGGUUAAUACCCCGCUGUUCCGACGGUACCCAAAGAAUAAGCACCGGCUAACUUCGUG